CAUAAAUGGCUUGUUUUUGGUAAUCGACGAAGAUUACCAUAUUGAUAUUCGGGCGCAUGAUAAACAUCGGUACUCCAGUGCAUUUCCCCAUCUGAUUCGGAAUAAAUAUGUUUUUGUACCUUUUCUUUAAAAUGCAAAGCGGACGUUCCGGCACGAAUCUCCGCAAUUACUUGUUCGGAUUCUACAUAUUGAUCAUUUUGCACUAGAAUCAAGCUUUUUGAAG
This 223-nucleotide unclassified non-coding RNA is filed under the name Hevea brasiliensis (rubber tree). The record is from RNAcentral. Lineage: Eukaryota; Viridiplantae; Streptophyta; Magnoliopsida; Malpighiales; Euphorbiaceae.